This 433-nucleotide ribosomal RNA is filed under the name uncultured bacterium. RNAcentral's name for it is "partial 16S ribosomal RNA". It matches the Rfam family "Bacterial small subunit ribosomal RNA", at positions 29 to 507 of the family's 1533-position model. The record is from RNAcentral.
AACGAACGCUGGCGGCAGGCCUAACACAUGCAAGUCGAGCGAGGACUUCGGUCCUAGCGGCGGACGGGUGAGUAACGCGUGGGAACGUGCCCUUUGCUUCGGAAUAGCCCUGGGAAACUGGGAGUAAUACCGGAUGAGCCCUUUGGGGGAAAGAUUUAUCGGCGAAGGAUCGGCCCGCGUUGGAUUAGGUAGUUGGUGGGGUAAUGGCCUACCAAGCCGACGAUCCAUAGCUGGUUUGAGAGGAUGAUCAGCCACACUGGGACUGAGACACGGCCCAGACUCCUACGGGAGGCAGCAGUGGGGAAUCUUAGACAAUGGGGGAAACCCUGAUCUAGCCAUGCCGCGUGAGCGAUGAAGGCCUUAGGGUUGUAAAGCUAUUUCAGCUGGGAAGAUAAUGACGGUACCAGCAGAAGAAGCCCCGGCUAACUCCGUG